AAGUCGUAACAAGGUUUCCGUAGGUGAACCUGCGGAAGGAUCAUCAUUGAAUCUUAUAUUCUACACACCCUUGUGAACCGCGUGGCCCGCUCGGGGCAAGAAUGCUCAGAGCGCGCACGCAACCUAUAUAACGUCUGGUGUUGGCGGAAUCUGUGUAGGCACGUAUGGCCGGAGAGACGCGCAUGCUCAUUGUGCGCGCCCGCCGACGAUGCGACGCUGCAGGCCGCCGGCACGCACACGGACGCGUUGAUAACAACGACAACACAAACUCUGUAACAAAACGAAAGCUAAAGCAACGCCACCGCAUGUCGGUGUGUGUGAAAUUUAAUAAAACAACUUUCAACAAUGGAUCUCUUGGCUCUC
RNAcentral lists this unclassified non-coding RNA (363 nucleotides) under fungal sp. Its description in RNAcentral is "partial internal transcribed spacer region". The stretch from base 1 to 46 matches the Rfam family "Eukaryotic small subunit ribosomal RNA", at positions 1786 to 1831 of the family's 1831-position model. The record is from RNAcentral. Lineage: Eukaryota; Fungi.